Long non-coding RNA from Carya illinoinensis, 534 nucleotides. RefSeq lists it as uncharacterized. The transcript has 3 exons. NCBI's taxonomy places the organism in Eukaryota, Viridiplantae, Streptophyta, Magnoliopsida, Fagales, Juglandaceae. The record is from RefSeq and is a predicted model, not a curated record.
AAGGAGAGAAUAAAAUAUUUUCUCAAGCCCUCACACACGCCACUUCUCUUCUCUCCUAUUUCCAUUCUCCUUCCAAUCUUAAGUCAACCACCCAUUAUUUCUUCUUCUCAAGAGGAAAAUAGCAAAUUUUGGAUUUCCAGCCAAGGGAUUCGCGUGCUCUCUAGUUCUCUACAUCGAACCCACCUCUUCUCUUCUCCAUUUUCAUGUUUUGGGAAUGGAUUCACUAAGGUAAUGACAAAGACGCUAGGGAGCAGGGCAUUACUGCAAGAGGGAGAGGCAUAUGCUUAGUGUCUUCCCUAUUGAUUUGACCUUACAGAUGAUGGGUUAUGUUUAUAGAUGUUGUUUUUAUGUUGGGAUGGGUCCCUUGUUGGGACGUUUUGUCGGGUUUGACUUAAAACCAUGUAUCUCUUGGUAUAGUGUAAACAUUAUGGUGGGGUGAUGGUAAACCCUUAUACAUUGACUUAGUGCCUUCUUGUAUGUAUGGUAGAGAUGGAGUCCCUUCCUUACUAGAACAUUUAUGUUUUUAUGAACAUA